CCCUUAGAUGUUCUGGGCGGCCCGCGCACUACAUUGGCACUGGCAACAAGAUCCUAGAUCUGGUAUUUCGGGGUAUUCUACCAACUGGUGUCGUGACUGGGAUUAACCCCUGCAAUUAUUGGUUAUGAACGAGGAGUUCCUUGUAAUCACGGUUUAUCAACCCGUGUUGAAUGCGUCCCUGCCCUUUGUACACACCGCCCGUCGCUCCUACCGAUGAAUCGUCCGGUGAAGUUCAUGGAGUCGCGGCUGCUCCAGCUGUUUUCGAAGUGAAAUGGACCUCAUGAUUUAGAGGAAGGAGAAGUCGUAACA
This 309-nucleotide ribosomal RNA is filed under the name uncultured eukaryote. RNAcentral's name for it is "partial 18S ribosomal RNA". It matches the Rfam family "Eukaryotic small subunit ribosomal RNA", at positions 1470 to 1796 of the family's 1831-position model. The record is from RNAcentral.